GAUGAAGAACGUAGCGAAAUGCGAUAAGUAAUGUGAAUUGCAGAAUUCAGUGAAUCAUCGAAUCUUUGAACGCACAUUGCGCCCCCUGGUAUUCCGGGGGGCAUGCCUGUCCGAGCGUCAUUACAACCCUCAAGCUCAGCUUGGUGUUGGGCCCCGCCGCCCCGGCGGGCCCUAAAGUCAGUGGCGGUGCCGUCCGGCUCCGAGCGUAGUAAUUCUUCUCGCUCUGGAGGUCCGGUCGUGUGCUUGCCAGCAACCCCCAAUUUUUUUCAGGUUGACCUCGGAUCAGGUAGGGAUACCCGCUGAACUUAAGCAUAUCAAUAAGCGGAGGA
This 329-nucleotide unclassified non-coding RNA is filed under the name soil metagenome. RNAcentral describes it as "partial contains 5.8S ribosomal RNA, internal transcribed spacer 2, and large subunit ribosomal RNA". The stretch from base 1 to 120 matches the Rfam family "5.8S ribosomal RNA", at positions 35 to 154 of the family's 154-position model. The record is from RNAcentral.